GACGAAGGAUGCAAGCGUUAUCCGGAUUCAUUGGGUUUAAAGGGUGCGUAGGCGGAUUUGCAAGUCAGUGGUGAAAUCUCCGGGCCUAACUCGGAAACUGCCAUUGAUACUGCAGAUCUUGAGUACAGAUGAUGUUGGCGGAAUAUGACAUGUAGCGGUGAAAUGCAUAGAUAUGUCAUAGAACACCGAUUGCGAAGGCAGCUGACAAAACUGUAACUGACGCUGAGGCACGAAAGUGCGGGGAUCAAACAGG
RNAcentral lists this ribosomal RNA (253 nucleotides) under uncultured bacterium. RNAcentral's name for it is "partial 16S ribosomal RNA". It matches the Rfam family "Bacterial small subunit ribosomal RNA", at positions 524 to 776 of the family's 1533-position model. The record is from RNAcentral.